Molecule: non-coding RNA, 206 nt
Organism: Microcebus murinus (gray mouse lemur)
Lineage: Eukaryota; Metazoa; Chordata; Mammalia; Primates; Cheirogaleidae
Source: RefSeq, a predicted model, not a curated record
CGUUUGCAGAAAAAGUGGCCAGUUGCUGAUGUGCGACACGUGUUCCCGUGUGUAUCAUCUGGACUGCUUAGACCCUCCUCUGAAAGCGAUUCCCAAGGGCAUGUGGAUCUGUCCCAGAUGUCAGGACCAGAUGCUGAAGAAGGAAGAAGCAAUUCCAUGGCCUGGAACUUUAGCAAUUGUUCAUUCCUAUAUUGCCUACAAAGCAG